RNAcentral lists this ribosomal RNA (501 nucleotides) under Bacillus aerius. RNAcentral's name for it is "bacterial SSU rRNA". It matches the Rfam family "Bacterial small subunit ribosomal RNA", at positions 70 to 555 of the family's 1533-position model. The record is from RNAcentral. Lineage: Bacteria; Bacillati; Bacillota; Bacilli; Caryophanales; Bacillaceae.
GACNNGAGCUUGCUCCCUUAGGUCAGCGGCGGACGGGUGAGUAACACGUGGGUAACCUGCCUGUAAGACUGGGAUAACUCCGGGAAACCGGGGCUAAUACCGGAUGCUUGAUUGAACCGCAUGGUUCAAUCAUAAAAGGUGGCUUUUAGCUACCACUUGCAGAUGGACCCGCGGCGCAUUAGCUAGUUGGUGAGGUAACGGCUCACCAAGGCGACGAUGCGUAGCCGACCUGAGAGGGUGAUCGGCCACACUGGGACUGAGACACGGCCCAGACUCCUACGGGAGGCAGCAGUAGGGAAUCUUCCGCAAUGGACGAAAGUCUGACGGAGCAACGCCGCGUGAGUGAUGAAGGUUUUCGGAUCGUAAAACUCUGUUGUUAGGGAAGAACAAGUACCGUUCGAAUAGGGCGGCACCUUGACGGUACCUAACCAGAAAGCCACGGCUAACUACGUGCCAGCNGCCGCGGUAAUACGUAGGUGGCAAGCGUUGUCCGGAAUUAUU